Molecule: long non-coding RNA, 672 nt
Organism: Anguilla rostrata (American eel)
Lineage: Eukaryota; Metazoa; Chordata; Actinopteri; Anguilliformes; Anguillidae
Exons: 2
Source: RefSeq, a predicted model, not a curated record
GUCCUUUCACAGACACUGACACAGUCAGCAUUAUGAUGAUGUCAAACAUUCUACUGCUGGUGAUGCUGGGACUCCUUGUACAGGGAUCAAUGGCAGAUAUAGUUCUGACUCAGUCUCCAGCAGCUCGGUCUGUUCAGCUGGGAGAGACUGUCUCUAUCAGCUGUACAGCCAGUGAGAGCGUUUACAACAAUCUCCACUGGUACCUGCAGAAACCUGGUCAGGCUCCAAAACUUCUGAUAUAUAUUGCCACAAAUCGCCAGACUGGGAUUCCUGAUCGUUUCAGUGGGAGUGGAUCUGGGACUCAGUUCACACUGAAAAUCACAGGAGUCCAGGCUGAAGAUGCAGGAGAUUAUUACUGUCUGCAGCGCUAUACGCCGAUCACACAGUGUUAUAGAGCCGUACAAAAACCUCCCUCAGUCAGACUGCACAGAGACUGCACUGCAGCUGGGACCUACUGCAUGUGCUGAGGGGGGAGGCACUGGUCUGUGACCUAGAGGGGCUCUACUCAAAUUCUGAGCUGUUUUGUGCAUUAAUAACUAUCAUAUUCUACUAUUUAAUACAAUUUCUCUAAAUGUUAAUGUGAGCACAUCCAAACCUUCCUGUUGUGAUCCAUUUUAAUUAUAUUAGCAUAAACCUUUCAUUGAAGGAAUACACUUGAGAUACUGGAGCUUA